CACACACUAAUUUCCGCCUUACUCUGUAACCAGUGACUCAGCACUCACCAUUUUCUCGCAUCAACACACACUAAUUUCCGCGCCAAACACACCCACGCUCUCCCCUAAGCCCCGAACCUGUGUCGUCUUGGGCGGCCGAGGCUUCCUCGGGAGAUUGCUCGUCCUCCGGCUCUUGAACCUCGGCAAGUGGAUAGUCCGCGUCGCCGAUUCGACUCAGUCCCUCCAUCUCGAUCCCUCCGAGCGCGACCCGCUCCUUUCGCAAGCUCUCUCCUCCGGCCGCGCUUCCUUGCACGGCAUCGAUGUUCGCAACACGUCUCAAAUCAUCACUGCAAUUGAAGGUUCAUCUGUAGUGUUCUGUUUGGAUGGGGCUGAUUUACCCAAAGACGAUUUCUACCAGUGCUAUAUGAUUGUUGUUCAAGUUUGAUGAUAUGGCUUGAUUUUCCAAGGAAUUUUCCGAUCGUUUUUCGUUGGAUUUUGGACUUCUAAUAGAAACCGGUGUGUGCAGACAGAGGCCUGUAGCGGCAGACGGUGGAGACCGGCAGGUGAUCAGAGAAGAAGAAGGUGAGACGUACCUAGAGGACGAGCGUGGACAAGCGAAGCUAGGGGGCUACAAUCCUGCUACUUAUCAGUUCUAGGUACCUAUUCAUCAUUGGUGGCUCAUGAGAACUACUUGGCAGUUCUGACGUUCUACUAAAUAAAAACCAUUACUGAAAGUUCCUGCUAAGAUGGCUUGGUACAUCCUAUUGUUCAUCAAAUGGAUAGCCGAAAAGUAUGGAAUGAUAAAAUACAAUGAUUCUAUGUCAGUGCAAUACAUUCGAUUAGUUUCACGUAAUAGAAUGUUCGACUGCACUGCGACCCAAAAGCAGAUUGGGUAUUCACCAGUUAUCUCACGGGAAGAAGGUGUCACAUUAACCAUUGAGUCAUUCUCUAAUUUAGCCAGAAACUCAUCUUUCCCAACUUUCAGAAACUUUAAUGAGGAAUCAAAAGUGGAGAAGGUUGUUUUCCGUUGUAGCAUUUUUAAUUUGAUUUUGCAUGGUCCCAUGGUAAUACGUAAUUUGGUCCCCAGCUUGACUUCUACUGAUGAAAAGGGUUUAAAAUAAGUUGGAACACACCAAGCUGGCAACUUAUACAGGAUUUGCGUUUCAGAAUACAUAUCCAGAUCAAACGUGAUUGUUCAUAUGCAUUCACACAGGCCAGAGGAAGCUUUGUCCUCUGUUUUUGUACUUUUUAUUUUCUUUGAAUGUUUUUUGCUUAUAAUAAAUGAAAAUAUAUGCAUGCUAGAACUUUCAUGAAAGCUGUUUAUUGUUUUAUUUUGACUGUAGAAUGACCUUGAACUGUCACUGCAGUUGCAGACAUUUUGCGAUGGCAUGAUGAGAAGAAAUCUUU
This 1386-nucleotide small RNA is filed under the name Malus domestica (apple). RNAcentral's name for it is "sRNA MD13G0229800". The record is from RNAcentral. Lineage: Eukaryota; Viridiplantae; Streptophyta; Magnoliopsida; Rosales; Rosaceae.